AUCUGAAUCAUUAAGUGUGCGAAUUUCUAGUCACUAUGAAAUUUAGCAUACAAACAACAAAAACCAAGUAUUUCUGUGUACUUGCAAACUUCACAUUCAGAGUGCUGAAUACGCAAUGACCAUACCUGGAACUCUAUGGACGCUGAACUACGUCACUGUAGGCCAAGCGAAUGAUAUUUUGAGGUUUAGCUUUAGUCCAAUCACAUGUAAACUAGAGCGGGAUUGACGUGACAGAGGCGGCGACCAUUUGUUGAGUGACGUCUGUACUACCCAAUGAGAAUAUGCGAAGGGCGGGGCAUAUUCUGACUGAUGGUCGAAUGCAGCAAUCACAAUUUUAGUAAGAAACCCGUGUUAAACUAUAUAAAACAUUUUCGCGGUGUGCUCGCCCUUUGUGAUAAUGUCGGCAGAAUAUGAAGGGAGACCUAGAGACAAUGGCCCCGAGGGCAUGGAGCCAGAUGGAGUCAUUGAAAGUAACUGGCAGG
Cyprinus carpio (common carp) is the source of this 482-nucleotide long non-coding RNA. RefSeq lists it as uncharacterized. Lineage: Eukaryota; Metazoa; Chordata; Actinopteri; Cypriniformes; Cyprinidae. The transcript has 3 exons. The record is from RefSeq and is a predicted model, not a curated record.